GCCUGGGUGGCUCAGUCAGUUGAGCAUCUGACUUCGGCUCAGGUCAUGAUCUCACAGCUUGUGAGUUCAAGCCCCUUUUUGGGCU
RNAcentral lists this transfer RNA (85 nucleotides) under Felis catus (domestic cat). It matches the Rfam family "tRNA". From Rfam's summary of the family: Transfer RNA (tRNA) molecules are approximately 80 nucleotides in length. Their secondary structure includes four short double-helical elements and three loops (D, anti-codon, and T loops). The record is from Rfam by way of RNAcentral. Lineage: Eukaryota; Metazoa; Chordata; Mammalia; Carnivora; Felidae.